UUGGUCUCCCAAAGUGCUGGGAUUACCGUCGUGAGCCACCGCGCCCGGCCGGGUUUCCCUAUUUUUAUUUGCCCUUGUUCUUGGGGACUGAUCUUGGUCUGGUAAGAGAAAUCAGGUGAAAGUACACAAUCAUAGGUUGGAGUAGGAGCUUCAGAUUUUGACGCCCCUCCCCCUACUUCUUAUAACACCCUCCCUGAGAUCAUAAAUUCACAGUUUACAAAUUUACAGGGGAGGAAUUGUGGUGGCUUUCCAAGACUAGUCCCUUUUACAUACUGUGACCUAGUUAGAUCUCAUUUCUUCUGAUCAUUCGCUUGUCUUAUAUUUCGGGGGGCAGUGUGGAGGGCGGCGACGUCGCUGACCCGCGCGCGGUGUGUGGAGCCUUCUAUUUCAGUCUCUUCACUUUAAUACGUGGUGCCCCGGGACGUUAUCAGAGCCAGCCACAGAUGCCACAUGUAAAGCAGCAAACAUCCGGAGUGGCUUCCUGCAAGCCUUGCUUUUCUCAACACAAGAGAUUUACGCAGGGGGUUGGGGGAAACAACUUUCACAAGUAAGAGCCGAGUACACCGCUCGCAUAGCCGUUCGGGUGCGUUAGCACUGCACGGUCCAGGGUCGCAGGGCUCCUGGCUACUAAUUGCGCUCACGUCCCCGGGUCCUUGGGCCGGACCCGAGGCUCUAAAGGCUGGGCAAGGAAGCGACUAGCGCACCAAGAAGCUGUGCCCGUUGCCAGUUGGGGCCUUUGGUCAGCGGGCGCAGAAAUUAACUCGGGUAGGUGGCGAACCGUGGGGCUGACCUGGAGGAAUCAGAGCCACGCUUAUCCGUGGGCCCCUGAGUGACCAGGCAAAGGCUGGGUGAUUUCCGGCAGGCUUUUGUGUUUUCGAUGCUGGGAAAGCAGGGGCUGGAGGAAGGACACUCAAGUCGAUCGGGAAGGACCCGUGGGCACCUAGGCAGAUCCGGGUUGGCGCUGGAGAGCAAGUCUGUGGGGGCGGGGGAGGGGAGUGCGCGCCGCAAACCCUGGGAAAACUCCAGGCUGCCCGUGGAUGACUAGACAAUGGUAUCCCUGAACAAAGAACAACAAUAAGGCCUUUGCAUUUAUAAAUCGUGCGCGGGCGGCUGCCUCCCGGAGGCCAGCACGAGGUGGCGCGCGGCGGUGGAGCGCGGCCGAGGGUCCCGCACCUCCCAGGCCAAGUCCCUCAUGUCCAGAUGGCCACCAGCAGCUCCAGGCUCGGAUUCUCCCAUUUUGCAAACCCAGCAGAAGGAACUCUUGCUGACCAGUAGUUCCCAAGACUGAUUUUCUGUGGGGCUGGUGGAGAUGAAUGGCCAACCCUGAAUCAGUCACUGCACCAGGGGGAUGAUCCCUCUUUCUGCCUUGGAGCUGGCUUAUCAGAGGGGUCAGCCUAGGAUUUAUGAGAUACUCCCUCACACAACCUGAGAAGAAAUUAAGAAACAACUUUUACUUCAGAACUGAAAACUGUCUGGAAAACCAGAGAAGUGCUGAAUGUCACUGUAAAGAAACGAAAAACAGGAGGCGACGUGUGCUGGGCAGAUGGGACAUGGCUUUCUGUGUUUCCGUAGGUAAUUGCAACAGCAUUAAGAAAAUGUGAGAAAGAUAUUAGCAUGGCACAAAUGCCUGUUCAUCUCCGCUUUUAAAUGUCUCUGAGUUGAAUUAAACCACAGUGGUAAUGUAGAGUUUUUCAAAGUAUACAUAAAUGAUAUUUUAGUUUUGCUAGCUAUGAAUUUAAAUAUUUGAUUACUUUUUGAUAUGCCAUUUCUAAAUUACCUCUAAAAUUAAGACCAAAAUAAUAAAUACACAUAAUACUAAUGUUUCAGAAAUGAGCUCCACCAUUACUUACAGUGUGAUCAUACAAACUAACACCUUGUAAUAAUUAGUCACCUUUUGUCAAUAUUUAUUUGAAUAGCCAACAACAGCAUAGAGGAUGUGCAUUGACUGCUAAGCCUAGAAUGCUAGAAAAAUAAGGAAAGGCUGCGCUUCCUUUCCUCGGCGUGAUCUGUCCACCUGCUAUCUGUGGGGAACUUGGCUGCUGAGCGAAUCGCUCUGUUCUAUGUAUAGCUUUGUUGAUUUACAUAGUUCUCCAAAAGGCACACACCCAGGGUUUUGUUUCAAGUGAAUAAUGUUAACAGACAAACUGUCUAAUAAACCUGAAAUGUUCUCCCAGGGGAUGGAGAGAAAGCGAAGAUCCUUGGAUAAUUUCAGUGUUUUCCUUCUUGACCUUGGGUCCGUCUGUCUGAAAUUGACAUGAAGGUUGGAAUCAACCUCUUGGGUUCAGCUAAGGGAUGUGUGGAACGCUGACGGGAAUGAGAUACUCCUACCCCUAGGCUUUUAGGGAGCAGAUGUGUCUUCCUCUCAAGACAGUCUGUGUGGGGUAGAUGAGUUGGCUCUGGACAGCCCUAAAACAAAUCAUAGCUGGCCAGGUGCGAUGGCUCACGCCUGUAAUCCCAGCACUUUGGGAGGCCGAGGCGGCAGAUCACCUGAGGUCGGGAGUUUGAGACCAGCCUGACCAACAUGGAGAAACCCUGUCUCUACUGAAAAUACAAAAUUAGCUGGUUGUGGUGGCACGUGACUAUAAUCCCAGCUACUAGGGAG
RNAcentral lists this long non-coding RNA (2602 nucleotides) under Homo sapiens (human). Its description in RNAcentral is "HSALNT0137002". Lineage: Eukaryota; Metazoa; Chordata; Mammalia; Primates; Hominidae. The record is from RNAcentral.